CUGAACGUGGCGUAAAGGGUGGACGUAAACCCCAGAUGGGUUAUGUGCCCAUUCCCUGCCAUCCCAAUGGCCAGGUGAACGCCCACAUCAG
RNAcentral lists this non-coding RNA (91 nucleotides) under unclassified sequences. RNAcentral's name for it is "L4-Archaeoglobi ribosomal protein leader". It matches the Rfam family "L4-Archaeoglobi ribosomal protein leades". The record is from RNAcentral.